GGGGUUGUAGCUCAGUGGUAGAGUACUUACAUAGCAUGUAUGAGGCAGUGGGUUCAAUCCUCAGCACCA
RNAcentral lists this transfer RNA (69 nucleotides) under Ictidomys tridecemlineatus (thirteen-lined ground squirrel). RNAcentral's name for it is "Spermophilus tridecemlineatus (thirteen-lined ground squirrel) tRNA". It matches the Rfam family "tRNA". From Rfam's summary of the family: Transfer RNA (tRNA) molecules are approximately 80 nucleotides in length. Their secondary structure includes four short double-helical elements and three loops (D, anti-codon, and T loops). Lineage: Eukaryota; Metazoa; Chordata; Mammalia; Rodentia; Sciuridae. The record is from Rfam by way of RNAcentral.